GAUAACUGUCUUGUGACGUUCAUAGCGACGUCGCUUUUUGAUCCUUCGAUGUCUGCUCUUCCUAUCAUUGUGAAGCAGAAUUCACCAAGCGUUGGAUUGUUCACCCACUAAUAGGGAAUGUCAGCUGGGAUUAGGCCAUCGUGCGACAGGCA
This 152-nucleotide non-coding RNA is filed under the name Meleagris gallopavo (turkey). RNAcentral's name for it is "Eukaryotic large subunit ribosomal RNA". It matches the Rfam family "Eukaryotic large subunit ribosomal RNA", at positions 2825 to 2984 of the family's 3401-position model. The record is from Rfam by way of RNAcentral. Lineage: Eukaryota; Metazoa; Chordata; Aves; Galliformes; Phasianidae.